GGUCGCGUAACUCAGUGGUAGAGUGCUACAUUGACAUUGUAGAAGUCGUUAGUUCAACUCUAAUCGUGACCACCA
This 75-nucleotide transfer RNA is filed under the name Campylobacteraceae bacterium 4484_166. Its description in RNAcentral is "tRNA-Val". It matches the Rfam family "tRNA". Rfam says of the family: Transfer RNA (tRNA) molecules are approximately 80 nucleotides in length. Their secondary structure includes four short double-helical elements and three loops (D, anti-codon, and T loops). RNAcentral also lists the same sequence under 2 other names. The record is from RNAcentral. Lineage: Bacteria; Pseudomonadati; Campylobacterota; Epsilonproteobacteria; Campylobacterales; Campylobacteraceae.